GUCUGUGGCCAUACCACUCUCAAUACACCUGAUCUUGUCUGAUCUCAGAAGCUAAGCAGGGUCAGGCCUGGUUAGUACUUGGAAGGGAGAAACGAAACUCAAAAAGCUAAAAAAA
RNAcentral lists this ribosomal RNA (115 nucleotides) under Prolemur simus (greater bamboo lemur). The record is from RNAcentral. Lineage: Eukaryota; Metazoa; Chordata; Mammalia; Primates; Lemuridae.